RNAcentral lists this ribosomal RNA (423 nucleotides) under uncultured bacterium. RNAcentral describes it as "bacterial SSU rRNA". It matches the Rfam family "Bacterial small subunit ribosomal RNA", at positions 207 to 622 of the family's 1533-position model. The record is from RNAcentral.
AAGACCUUGCGCUUUUGGAGCGGCCGAUGUCUGAUUAGCUAGUUGGUAGGGUAAUGGCCCACCAAAGCUUCGAUCAGUAGCUGGUCUGAGAGGACGACCAGCCACACUGGGACUGAGACACGGCCCAGACCCCUACGGGAGGCAGCAGUGGGGAAUUUUGGACAAUGGGCGCAAGCCUGAUCCAGCCAUGCCGCGUGAGUGAAGAAGGCCUUCGGGUUGUAYAGCUCUUUCAGCCGGGAAGAAAAGGCUACGACGAAUAAUCGUAGCUCAUGACGGUACCGGAAGAAGAAGCACCGGCUAACUACGUGCCAGCAGCCGCGGUAAUACGUAGGGUGCGAGCGUUAAUCGGAAUUACUGGGCGUAAAGGGUGCGCAGGCGGUUUUGUAAGUCAGAUGUGAAAUCCCCGGGCUUAACCUGGGAACU